UCCCAGCUUCUGACUCAAAGAGCGUUAAUGAGGACAGGAGCUGGUUGUUCUCAGCAGAUCCCACCAAACUGUGAAAGCAGCAGAUGAGAAGUAACAGCUGCACUCUACCCAGGGUCCAAAAGGUUUUAUAGGGAGAAAUGCUAUCUGCCCUGGGAGGAGAAGAAAAAAAUGAAAUAAAGUCUGCCCAGUGUACAUCAUCUGAAUUAUCCUACUCAGUACUCAAUGAUGGUCACAUUAAAGAAAGUGCAGGAGCCAGCAGGACCUGAAGAAGCUGUCCAACCUCAGAAGAAAUGGCCCACGACCCAAAAAGCUUUCAAGUGAAGUGAAGAAACCCAACAAGAUAACAGUCUAAAGGAAGCACAAAGGCACAAGGAUGACAAGACUGGUCAGCCCUGGAAGCAGAGACCUUGAGGCAUGCAAGCUGCUGCUCAGCAGUCGUCCAAGCACUGCGUAGUCCACCUGGCAGAGGAAACGGUGGAAGGGAAUAAGGUGGAUAUGCGCUAGCUGUACAGAGCUGUGCCUAAUUAUGGGGUCAACCUGAGGAGAAAGCAUGAAGGUGAUUCCUCUGCACUCUAGUAAGAGGGCAAUGAAGCAGCCUUUACACAUGGGAAGCAGAAUCUCAGACUUCAAUAUACCCUUGCAGAGAGGCCGAUGACUGCCAAAGACUAGACUGCGUUUUGUCUCUAUGAUGAUCACAGCUUGGAGGAAGCUUGGCUGAACAGCAUGUCUUGCUAUACCAAUUCCAGAAUGAAGCAUAACUUCCUCUGCAAAUGCUCCCAGUUUUAGUGCACUUCAUCAGAGCCAAAUGCACAAGCACUGGCCUCUCAAAUGAGCUCGGUGGGAGCAAUGACAUUUCACAGAAUCACAGAAUGGUAGGGGUUGGACAACAUCUGCUGAGCUGACUUCCAGCCCCCCACUGCUGGUGGAUUCUGUAGGUAACAGUAGAGGCAGCAGAGAUACCAACACCAAAGGGAAGGAAUUCAGCAAAAGAGUAUUUGAAAUGAGGUCUUUAAAUACAGUUGGUUUUCAUGCUUGUCACUAAUCCCAUAUUGCUGAGAGCUAAUACAUAAACCAAGGGUCACUGAAGGAGAAUGAAUGGGGAAAAGCAGUUUGUGAGGAACAGGAUUCGGACUAUCAGCUUUGUAGAGUGGGACCAAAGGAAAUUCUUUUGUUUCUCAUUUGUACCUGGUGUUAUUUCCUACAGCCCUGGAGCCUUCCCUUGUUACGUUAGAGUAACUGCUGUCAAGUUUAGCUGUGAGCAAGGCAAACCACUGAAAAAAAUGUUUCUUUUUAAAACACAGGGUAUCCACAGUGCACUGGACUUGACUUCAAGUUGAGAGACGUGGCAUUGGCAGUGCUAUCAGGCUUACAACUACAGAAGGAGUUUUCACCUUGCAUUGACAGCGAGAGAACUGGGUAAAGCAUACCAUGUCGGAACAGAAAAAUGGCUAUUGGUUUUGAAAAGCUGAGCUCCUACAAUCACUCUGAGCAAAGCUCCAGACCCACAUAACAUUAGCUGUGUUUUAUAGUCAGUGACUGAGGAAAGCCUAUCGUUGUCGGGCCGUUUUGGUGAUUACUUGUGCCUACGGGAUGGCUGUGGCAGCCAAACGACAAGAUCACAGGACAAACUAGCAGGGGAGAAAAACGACAUUAUUCCUGGCAGAGCAUCAUGCCGAGACCCUGGCUUCCUGCUGCAAAAAACAGGAAAUGUUUACUUCUGGAACAAUGAUGGACUAAAUUCAGUGCUGGUGGGGUACAUUCACAGAAGUCCCUGCACCUUUACAACUGGGCAGUUUUCUGUGCCAGUGUCCUAGGAAUAACAACUAAAUAGAGAAAGGGCUUUUUAGGGAGGUUCAUUUUUUCUUGCCCAUAAAAGUUGGAGACUGUGGGGUUUGCAUGCUCUGGUGUUUUGGCCAAUCCACCCCUAAAUGGUCCAGCUGAUUCGACUCCUACUAGUUGUUCAGGGACACUAUUCUAUAGCAUGUUUCAAUGUGAACAGUUUCAGAAUCAAGCUUAAAUUCUCCUUUGUGAUAUCCUGUCCCCCCACCUUCCUGGAGCACUUGCAAGACACCUGAUGAGUACCAAUGACAAAGCUAGGACCAGGGAUGGACAGUUAUAAGGAUCUGCUCUACUCCUUUCCUGGGAACUUUGCUAAUGCAAGUAGUAAAGGCUCUCCCCAGAGAGAGCCUCCACCAGCUUCAGCUCUGCUCUGAGAAAAUGAGGGAAAUGAUGCAACACCUGAGGCUGUUGACACAUUGAACUGAUCUCACAGCUGACUAAUGAGGAGGCAGACAAGCAAAGAGGGAAAAAUGCUUGAGACAAAUUCUGGAGGUGUUCAGCUUUUGUAUAUCCCCACAAAGCAGAUGAGAUUCUUCAACAUGAACAA
Molecule: non-coding RNA, 2386 nt
Organism: Phalacrocorax carbo (great cormorant)
Lineage: Eukaryota; Metazoa; Chordata; Aves; Suliformes; Phalacrocoracidae
Source: RefSeq, a predicted model, not a curated record